ACGCACGCUGGCGGCGUGCUUCACCCAUGCCAGUCGCACGCUGAAGCACCAGCUUGCUGGUGUGGAUGAGUGGCGAACGGGUGAGUAAUACGUGAGUAACCUGCCCUUGACUCUGGGAUAAGCCCGGGAAACUGGGUCUAAUACUGGAUGCUACAUGUCACCGCAUGGUGGUGUGUGGAAAGGGUUUACUGGUCUUGGAUGGGCUCACGGCCUAUCAGCUUGUUGGUGAGGUAAUGGCUCACCAAGGCGACGACGGGUAGCCGGCCUGAGAGGGUGACCGGCCACACUGGGACUGAGACACGGCCCAGACUCCUACGGGAGGCAGCAGUGGGGAAUAUUGCACAAUGGGCGAAAGCCUGAUGCAGCGACGCCGCGUGAGGGAUGACGGCCUUCGGGUUGUAAACCUCGUUCAGCAGGGAAGAAGCCACAAGUGACGGUACCUGCAGAAGAAGCGCCGGCUAACUACGUG
RNAcentral lists this ribosomal RNA (469 nucleotides) under uncultured bacterium. RNAcentral's name for it is "partial 16S ribosomal RNA". It matches the Rfam family "Bacterial small subunit ribosomal RNA", at positions 29 to 507 of the family's 1533-position model. The record is from RNAcentral.